Molecule: long non-coding RNA, 649 nt
Filed under: Mustela putorius furo (domestic ferret)
Lineage: Eukaryota; Metazoa; Chordata; Mammalia; Carnivora; Mustelidae
Description: lncRNA (ENSMPUG00000026177.1)
Source: RNAcentral
CGGACCCCAGAUGGGCAGGGAAGCAAGGGAGGGGCCCCGGAGCGAGGGCGAUGCAGGCUGCUGAGCAUUUGGGCAUUGUGAUGCCUCAGGACCCCGCAUUCAUUCACCACUUCAUUCAGCAGGAUCCUGCCAUGAAUUCUGAGCACAAGCCUCAGGUGACCAAACCCUUCCUCUGGGGACUGCCCCGCACCCGGUGGGGAGGACAGAGCUGCUCCUCCAACAGGUGCGCGUGCGUGGAGGCGGCAGGAAGGGCAGCAGCACACCUGAGGGCAAGAGAGCAGUGGAGCGGUGGGCGCGGCCCUGUUGGGAAGGUGCUCUGUGUCCCGUCUCUGCAGAAGCAUGAGGAGAGCUCAGCCCAACAGGGGAACAAGCCACUCGUGAGGAAGUCUCCUCAACAGGUCUUCCUCCACCGUCAGCCAUGGCCUGGCCUGCGUUUGCCACCCUUCCUGGAGAGUGACAAUGACAGGUGCCCCGAUUGGCCCCCGCUUGUCACUGUGCUGCCCUGCAUGUUACCGCGUCAUCAACACAAGGAUGUCGUCCGUUUGUCCCCUCUGUUGGGGUAAGGACCACACUGGGAAGCAGACACUGCAAGCCAUUUUAGGGGUCACCCUCUUAGCAACCUCCAGCCAAUGCAGGCGUUGGUUUCCCC